This 250-nucleotide ribosomal RNA is filed under the name uncultured bacterium. Its description in RNAcentral is "partial 16S ribosomal RNA". It matches the Rfam family "Bacterial small subunit ribosomal RNA", at positions 524 to 773 of the family's 1533-position model. The record is from RNAcentral.
AACGUAGGAGGCAAGCGUUAUCCGGAGUUACUGGGCGUAAAGCGCAUGUAGGCGGUUGGGUAAGUGGCGUGUGAAAGCUCCCGGCUAAACUGGGAGAGGACAGGUCAGACUGCCGAACUCGAGUCCGAUAGAGGGGCGUAGAAUUCCGGGUGUAGCGGUGAAAUGUGUAGAGAUCCGGAGGAAUACCAGUGGCGCAAGCGGCGCCCUGGGUCGGUACUGACGCUGAGAUGCGAAAGCGUGGGGAGCGAAC